ACCGGUAAGUGAUACAAAAUUAAUCCAUUUUUGCGCCUGUAAUCGAAAUCCAUUUUGACCAUUUUCCACCGUCUUCUCUUUUUAGCCGUUUUAUUGUCCCAGUGCCACUGUCGCCAUUCCCGCCGCAGCUGUUGCCGUCCAAUAGGUGCAUCCGUUCCGGCUCCGCAUUGAGUGACCAGCUCCGCCCUACCAACUACCGCUCCCGAUUUUGUUGCCGUUCCGGACGUUUCGUUUUCAGCCUUGGCUGGUUCCGCCCAGUAGGUGUUCCCGUUCCGACUUCCCCCACAACUACCGAACGCAGGUGAUAUAGAAGGGAGGAUCGAGCGGCGACUGAACCAUCUCCGCGAAAAAUUUGGGGAAUCAUCGCUACAACCUCAAAUUGUCGCAGUGGGCACGAGCAACUCAACAAAAGCAACGAUGGUUAUUUUU
Long non-coding RNA from Aedes aegypti (yellow fever mosquito), 429 nucleotides. RefSeq lists it as uncharacterized. The record is from RefSeq and is a predicted model, not a curated record. The transcript is spliced from 3 exons. Lineage: Eukaryota; Metazoa; Arthropoda; Insecta; Diptera; Culicidae.